RNAcentral lists this ribosomal RNA (446 nucleotides) under uncultured bacterium. RNAcentral's name for it is "partial 16S ribosomal RNA". It matches the Rfam family "Bacterial small subunit ribosomal RNA", at positions 354 to 796 of the family's 1533-position model. The record is from RNAcentral.
GUAGGGAAUAUUGGACAAUGGGGGGAACCCUGAUCCAGCCAUGCAGCGUGGAGGAAGACUGCCCUCUGGGUUGUAAACUCCUUUUAUAUGGGAAGAACCGUCCUCAUUAAUGAGUGACCUGACGGUACCAUAGGAAUAAGCACCGGCUAACUCCGUGCCAGCAGCCGCGGUAAUACGGAGGGUGCAAGCGUUAUCCGGAUUCACUGGGUUUAAAGGGUGCGUAGGCGGAUAAAUAAGUCAGUGGUGAAAUCAACGGGCUCAACCUGUUAACUGCCAUUGAUACUGUGUAUCUAGAAUAUGAGAGAGGUAGGCGGAAUGUUGCAUGUAGCGGUGAAAUGCUUAGAUAUGCUACGGAACACCGAUUGCGAAGGCAGCUUACUAUUUCGUAAUUGACGCUGAGGCACGAAAGCGUGGGUAGCGAACAGGAUUAGAUACCCGGGUAGUCC